GUUGAAGGCCAUGUUCUCAGCCUCAUACAAGAAAAAAGUUUAUAUUUUUCUUUCAUUGACAAAUUAUUGUAUUUUUACAGGUGAGGAAACAUGUGAGAAUAUUUGUCAUGUGAUGUUUUAAAAUUAAGUGUCCUUAACCUCAGACAUAACGUCCAAUAAAAUCUAAGUAUGAUGUAUACAAGCUGAAGCCCCGCCUAUCUUAAUUACCAUGCUUGAGCAAACACUGAUACAAACAAAGCAAGCAAGCCAAACAAAGAUUUGUCUUGCUAGCAUUAAUGUAAAAGCUGUAAGAA
RNAcentral lists this long non-coding RNA (293 nucleotides) under Mytilus galloprovincialis (Mediterranean mussel). The record is from RNAcentral. Lineage: Eukaryota; Metazoa; Mollusca; Bivalvia; Mytilida; Mytilidae.